GGACGGGUGGCCGAGUGGUUUAAGGCGCACGCCUGGAGAGCGUGUGGGCGUCGCAAGCGCCUCGUGGGUUCGAAUCCCACCCCGUCCG
Molecule: transfer RNA, 88 nt
Filed under: Gemmatimonadota bacterium
Lineage: Bacteria; Pseudomonadati; Gemmatimonadota
Also listed under: 1 other name
Description: tRNA-Ser
Rfam family: tRNA
About the family: Transfer RNA (tRNA) molecules are approximately 80 nucleotides in length. Their secondary structure includes four short double-helical elements and three loops (D, anti-codon, and T loops). Further hydrogen bonds mediate the characteristic L-shaped molecular structure. tRNAs have two regions of fundamental functional importance: the anti-codon, which is responsible for specific mRNA codon recognition, and the 3' end, to which the tRNAs corresponding amino acid is attached (by aminoacyl-tRNA synthetases). tRNAs cope with the degeneracy of the genetic code in two manners: having more than one tRNA (with a specific anti-codon) for a particular amino acid; and 'wobble' base-pairing, i.e. permitting non-standard base-pairing at the 3rd anti-codon position.
Source: RNAcentral